UCCGAUUCCGGUACCUGUCCUUUAUUGAAGCAGCUGUUACAGGGCCAAUUUUUCGCAAAGAUUGACACUGCACGGCAGCGGCAAAUCACAGCCACUCAGCCUUAACUUUUUCGCACACACACAGCCUGACUUAGAAUUUUCAGACUUUAGCCAAACUAAGAACACACAGGAUUUACGGGUAAAAACCCAACCUUUAUUAAUUCUCGCAGAAUAUACAAAGGACUCACAUUUUAGACUUGGCUCACAUAUGUUAUGCUACUUGCCUUUGCCAAAAAACGAAAUACAACAUAUAACAAGGGGCUGCCAAUGACAGUUUACAAAGGGGCAGUUAUGGGCACUUUAGUUUAGAUGCUUGACAAUCGAUAGAUGCUAUCCCUGCAACUGAUCCACUGUUGGGAUUACUAUAACUUCUCGCUUUCUGUCAGAGCAACAUAUUUUAUUUUUUGAGUACUACUGAACGGUUAAAUCACUUUUGGAUUUACAAUUAUACUUCUGCGAAAAUAAGGAAGCAAGCAUAAUUGCUCAGGAAAUUGAUACUUUAGCUCUAAACUACCCCAUGCAACUUCUUUUGAAUCUGAUGCUUCAAAUAAUCAUAGAGGACAUACGAAAACUUUACGGUUAUUUCAUAACUAGUUUUUUACUGUAUCACAAAGAAUAUUACAUCAAUUUCUUGUGUCGGCGCACAUUAUUUCAGCUCGUGAAAAAAGUCAAAGCCAAACCGUUUCGCUUAAGAAAAGGUCCAAUUUUUGAAAACCAAACUAAACUUUUUGUCAGAAACUAAAAAACCUCAAGGUAAGUUUUUUAAAAAAGAAAACCAAACUAAACUUUUUGUCAAAAACUAAAAAACCUCAAGGUAAGUUUUUUAAAAAAAUCAAUUCAAA
Molecule: long non-coding RNA, 881 nt
Filed under: Nicotiana benthamiana
Lineage: Eukaryota; Viridiplantae; Streptophyta; Magnoliopsida; Solanales; Solanaceae
Description: long non-coding RNA (NBEN_LNC005252)
Source: RNAcentral